RNAcentral lists this ribosomal RNA (253 nucleotides) under uncultured bacterium. RNAcentral's name for it is "partial 16S ribosomal RNA". It matches the Rfam family "Bacterial small subunit ribosomal RNA", at positions 524 to 776 of the family's 1533-position model. The record is from RNAcentral.
UACGGGGGGAGCAAGCGUUGUUCGGAUUUACUGGGCGUAAAGGGCUCGUAGGCGGCCAACUAAGUCGGACGUGAAAUCCCCAGGCUCAACCUGGGAACUGCGUCCGAUACUGGAUGGCUUGAAUCCGGGAGAGGGAUGCAGAAUUCCAGGUGUAGCGGUGAAAUGCGUAGAUAUCUAGAGGAAUACCGGUGGCGAAGGCGGCAUCCUGGACCGGCAUUGACGCUGAGGAGCGAAAGCCAGGGGAGCAAACGGG